GGCGGACGGGUGAGUAACACGUAAACAAUCUGCCCUGAAGCGGGGAAUAACUAUCCCAACGGAUAGCUAAUACCGCAUAAUGAUGGAGGUGGCAUCACCUCUUCUCAAAAGGCUUCGGCCACUUCAGGAUGAGUUUGCGUCCCAUUAGCUUGUUGGCGGUGUAACGGACCACCAAGGCAACGAUGGGUAUCCGGCCUGAGAGGGUGUACGGACACAUUGGGACUGAGAUACGGCCCAGACUCCUACGGGAGGCAGCAGUAGGGAAUUUUGCGCAAUGGAGGAAACUCUGACGCAGCAACGCCAUGUGUGGGAUGAAGCAUUUCGGUGUGUAAACCACUGUCAGCGGGGAAUAAAUGGUCGCUUCGGCGGCAGUUGAAUGUACCCGCAAAGGAAGCCCCGGCUAACUUCGUGCCAGCAGCCGCGGUAAUACGAGGGGGGCAAAUGUUGUUCGGAAUCACUGGGCGUAAAGGGAGCGUAGGCGGGCUCUUAAGUUAGGUGUUUAAUCCCGGGGCCCAACCCCGGACAGGCACCUAAAACUGGGAGUCUUGAAUAGUGGAGAGGUCGGCGGAAUUGGGGGUGUAGCGGUGGAAUGCGUAGAGAUCCCCAAGAACACCAGUUGCGAAGGCGGCCGACUGGACACAUAUUGACGCUGAGGCUCGAAAGCAUGGGGAGCAAACAGGAUUAGAUACCCUGGUAGUCCAUGCCAUAAACGAUGAUUACUAGGUUUUGGGCCCGUCAACGGUCCAGAGCCGCAGCUAACGCGUUAAGUAAUCCGCCUGGGGAGUACGGUCGCAAGACUGAAACUCAAAGGAAUUGACGG
Molecule: ribosomal RNA, 820 nt
Filed under: uncultured bacterium
Lineage: Bacteria
Description: bacterial SSU rRNA
Rfam family: Bacterial small subunit ribosomal RNA
Source: RNAcentral